AUGGAAGUGGCAUUAGCUAGUGCUGCCUUAAGCGUAAGCUUAAAAUUGGCUGCAUCGCCGGCCUUAAGGAAGCUCCUUUCUAAUGCUUCAACGUACCUUGGAGUCGAUAUGGCGCGUGAGCUCCAUGAACUGGAGACCACUAUCUUGCCGCAAUUCGAACUGUUGAUUGAAGCAGCAGAUAAGGGAAACCACAGGCUCAAGUUGGACAAAUGGCUUCAGGAACUCAAAGAAGGCUUCUACCUAGCUGAAGACUUGCUGGACGAGCAUGAGUAUAACCUCCUCAAGCGCCAAGCAAAGGGGAAGGAUUACUUGCUGGCAAAUUCCUCCUCCAUCAGCAACACUUUGAUGAAGCCUCUGCGUGCUGCAUCAAGCAGGCUGUCCAAUCUGAGCUCUGAUAACAGAAAGCUAAUUCAACAUCUGAAUGAACUGAAGACCACCCUGGCGAAAGCGAAGGACUUCCGUCAACUGCUCUGCGUACCAGCUGGUUAUAAUGUAGCAAGCCCCACCAAAACAUCAGUUGUUGUUCCUGAGACCACAUCACUUCCACCUUUAAAAGUAAUUGGUCGUGAUAAUGAUCGCGAUUGUAUAAUAAAUCUUCUUACCAAGACAACUACUAUUACUACUGAGUCUAGUGUUGCUAUGUACUCGGGUUUGGCCAUUGUUGGAGCUGGAGGCAUGGGAAAGUCCACCUUGGCACAGCUUGUUUACAAUGACAAGAGGGUAAAAGAAUAUUUUGAUGUGACAAUGUGGGUAAGCAUCUCACGCAAAACUUGA
Molecule: ribosomal RNA, 774 nt
Filed under: Triticum aestivum (bread wheat)
Lineage: Eukaryota; Viridiplantae; Streptophyta; Magnoliopsida; Poales; Poaceae
Description: partial small subunit ribosomal RNA
Source: RNAcentral